GGGGGCGUGGCUCAGUGGAAGAGCCUCUGCUUUGCAUGCAGAAGCUCCCAGGUUCAAGCCCUGGCGUCUCCG
Molecule: non-coding RNA, 72 nt
Organism: Gekko japonicus
Lineage: Eukaryota; Metazoa; Chordata; Lepidosauria; Squamata; Gekkonidae
Source: the annotation of a RefSeq genome assembly